GACGAACGCUGGCGGCGUGCUUAACACAUGCAAGUCGAACGAAAAGACCCUGCGUUUGUGGGUUCCUCGUUUGCCGAACAGGGGAGUGUCACGUGUAUAUCCUCCCCUUAUCUUUGUGAUAACUUCAGGAAACUGGGGCUAUUACCGGGGAUGAUCUCCUGCUCCGUGGUGUGGGAUGGAGAAUUUGGGCUGUGCGGGCUGGACUCGCGGGUUAUCAGCUUGUUGGUGUGGUAGUUACUUACCAGGGCUUUGACGGGUAGGCGGCAUGAGAGGGUGAACGGCCACAUUGGGACUGAGAUACGGAGCAGUCUCGUACGGUAGGCAGCAGGGGGGAAUAUUGCACAAUGGGCGGAAGCCUGAUGUGGAAACGCUGCGUGCGGGAUGACGGCCUACGGGUUGUAAACCGAUUUGGAAUGUGACGAAGAGUGAGUGACGGUAAUGGGUAAAGAAGCACCGGCUAACUACGUG
RNAcentral lists this ribosomal RNA (468 nucleotides) under uncultured bacterium. Its description in RNAcentral is "partial 16S ribosomal RNA". It matches the Rfam family "Bacterial small subunit ribosomal RNA", at positions 28 to 507 of the family's 1533-position model. The record is from RNAcentral.